Molecule: ribosomal RNA, 443 nt
Filed under: uncultured bacterium
Lineage: Bacteria
Description: partial 16S ribosomal RNA
Rfam family: Bacterial small subunit ribosomal RNA
Source: RNAcentral
GAUGGACGCUGGCGGCAUGCCUAACACAUGCAAGUCGAUCGGUAAGGCUCUUCGGAGUACACGAGAGGCGGACGGCUGAGUAACGCGUAGGAACACACCCUGCAGUGAGGGAUAAGACACCGAAAGGUGUUCUAAUACCGCAUACGGUCUUCGGAUUAAAGCAUUUAUGCGCUGAAGGAGUGGCCUGCGUCAUAUUAGAUAGUUGGUGAGGUAAUGGCUCACCAAGUCGAUGAUGUGUAGCUGGUCUGAGAGGAUGAUCAGCCAGACUGGAACUGAGACACGGUCCAGACUCCUACGGGAGGCAGCAGUGAGGAAUAUUUCACAAUGAGCGAAAGCUUGAUGGAGCAAUGCCGCGUGCAGGAUGAAGGCCCUCGGGUUGUAAACUGCUUUUAUAAGAGAAGAUUAUGACGGUAACUUAUGAAUAAGGGACGGCUAACUACGUG